This 3647-nucleotide unclassified non-coding RNA is filed under the name Ceratitis capitata (Mediterranean fruit fly). RNAcentral's name for it is "zinc finger protein 660, transcript variant X2". Lineage: Eukaryota; Metazoa; Arthropoda; Insecta; Diptera; Tephritidae. The record is from RNAcentral.
CAGUAAAAGUUAGCCAGCAAGUUGUAUGACAGGCUGUCAUUAGAUUUAUAGUUGUAACCGUAGAGCUAUAUAAUUAUUAACAUACUUAUCGACUAUUUUGUAUCUUCGAUUCCCCAUUGGUCGUUAAUUAAUAUUUUUUAUACUAUUGUUUACAGUUUAAGCUUCAUUUCUAGUAUAAUAAUUGUGAGUGAGAAUCAUGGAUGUUGAGAUUAUUAGUGAAAAAAUUGAAUGCAGUGACUUAAAGAAAUGCGGUGAAAUAGCUACUUUGCUAUCAGUUGGGAAACCAGAAUUUUUUCUGAAUUGUGGUUUUUGCGAAUACACUUUUCUACAACUGGAUAACUUCAUCGCCCAUAUGUACAAUGAUCACAUAACUGAGUUUCCUGCAACUGAACUAAAAAAAGAAACAACAGAAGAAGAUGAAAUGUUGAAUGAAUGCUCCACAGACACUUUGGAAUCUGUUGCACAAGAGGAAUAUUUAAAAGAAUUUGAAAGAGUCGAAAUAGAAUUGGACACAUCUGACGCUAAUAUUUUAAAUGAUAACAAAGAAUGUUUGUCUAAGGAAUUUGACGAGCAAGAAAAUGAAAGUAAAGCUACAUUAACGGGACGUAUCCAGAGGAAUCAAAAUUUUCAGCUUAAUUUAAAUAGAGGCGAUGAAAUUGAAAGUAGUGAGAAAGAGUACAAACGCCCUCAAGAACAAAGUAUGAGAAAAAGACCAUCUAAAAUUUCUCAUAACCGAAGAAAUGCAAUAAGAGAAAAAUAUAAAUUAAAUAAGGAUGAGCUUGAAAGUCAAAGGGAUUUGGAAAUGGAAAUUUCCGAAGAAGUUAUCGACACAAAAAAAUAUCGUAAUGAAAGUGAUUUAGAUGACACAAAGAUGUCCAACAAUUAUGAUGAAACAGAUGAUGAUGAUUUCUUACAAGAUUUCGAUGAGAGCGAAGAUGUAGACGAACCACAGUCUAAAUCCGCAUCUUCGUUGACUGAGAAAACUAAAACCAACACUUUUGUAGCUUUAGAAGAUUCACAAUACCAACUUUUGGCCGAAAUUUAUGAGAAGCAAACCUGCCUUUGGGAUGAGAAAGACAUCGCAUAUCGAUUUAAAAAUAGGCGUGAAGAUGCACUUAAUCUCUUAAAUGCGGAAUUUAAUGAAAUAACUGAACUAAACUUAACCACAGCUGAAAUGGAAUCACACAUUUUACAUCUGAGAAAAAUUUGUUCAGCCCAAAAGAAACAGAAAAUCGUAUGCGAAAGAAAGAAUGUAAAAUUUCAAUCAAAGUGCUCGUUCUAUAAGCAUAUAACCUAUCUGCAAGUGGAUGUACCUCCAUUCGAAUGUCGGAUAUGUAAAAAGCUAAUGCGCUCAAUAGGUCAAUACAAAGUGCACUUUGCCGCUCAUGAUGGCUCCUUACCGUUUGUCUGUCAUCUCUGUGGCCAUGGUUUUCAGUUAGCAUCUAAUUUAACUGUGCAUUUACGAAGACAUGUGCAGGAUUUUACGUACAGAUGUGAGCAGUGCGAUAAGCCUUGUGCGACGUCAACAGAAUUAAAAAUCCAUAUGCGUUCACAUACCGGUGAGAAGCCUUUUGUUUGCUAUAUUUGCGGUCAGAAAGCGCGAACUUCAUCACAACUAUUAGUACACAUAUUGCGACACGAAAAGCGACCUCGUCAUAAGUGUAAACUUUGCCCGAAAACCUUCUAUGAAACCGGCACGUUAAAUGAGCACAUGAGUAUACACAGAAAUAUUCGUGACGAAAUAUGUGAAGUGUGCGAUAAAGGUUUUAUCAACAAGAAACAACUACGCCAACACCAACUUAUCCAUAAUUCAGAAAAAAAAUAUCCCUGCAAAAUCUGCGGAAAGCGUUUUGCUCAAUAUGCGGGCCUUAGCGGACAUAUGAAAACCCAUGGUACUAAGCUAUCUGCUAAAGUUUCAGAAAACCUUACACCUUCUUAGGAUCAACUUUAAAAAAUGUUCGACACAAUCAUAUAGGCGGUACAGCUGUAGACUUCGAUCGGAUACCAUGCGAAAGAAGCCACUCAAAUUAUAUUGAUAUGCAAGAUUUUAGCAUACAAAAGAAAAAACAAAGGCUUACAAAACGAACGGCUACGACGUGUUUGUGAGUUACACAAAGAAUCCUAUGAAAUAUCGACUAUCAACCUCUGCUUAGGGUCAUGCAAAAUCUAAGUCCAAGUCAUCGAGUUCAUUUAGCGGGAGAUCCAGGAAACACUCUGUUUCGACGGUUUUCGACCAGAGAGUAAGGUGUGUUAGAUGAGUUAGUUUCCCUUAGGAACAGCUAGUUAGUCCAAAUCAUGGAGGUCAUCUAACGGUAGGUCGAGGAAACGAGCUGUUCCGAUGGGCUCGGAUCAAAGGCAAAAGAAAGAUAGCUGUGUUGGUUUUAGGACAAUGUAUUUGGUAUGUCGGGGUCGAGACUUGAUAGGUAAGAGUUUAACUUGCUACAAUAUCCAGACCUAAGUAGCGCCAGUAUUACGCGGGACCUUCGGUAGCAUCCCUGAAGAAAUUGCUGGUAGAGCAAGACUUUAUGCUACUUAAGACGUAGCUAAGAUGCUUCGCUGUGCAAGUGUUGCUCAGAUGACAUCAGAAUGCUACCUGUCACGGUCCUGAGGUUGGUUGGUGUCGUGGAUGGUGCCUUGCGUGUAAGGCAUAUGUCGGUUUCAAGUCUGGAUGGUUCGGAAUUCAGUCGAUUACAGUAUUCAAACCCUGGUUUGUAAUAGGUGGUGGUGGUGUCUUUCAGUGCUUGCCAGCGGUUUGAAAAUUUCGUUGCCCCUCUUUGCUUUAGGAGUAAUUCUAGUCCCACGGCGGUAUUAACCGUUGGAAUAGAUUUUCAUAUAUAGUUCUAGCCUGCCUAGGGCUACCGAGGAUAUAGUUUGUUAUAGUUGUAGCUUUCGUGCAGUGAAGAAGAAAAGGUUCACUUUCGAACAGACAUUACCAAUAGCCUGAUCAGCCUUAAUAUAGAAUUUAAGAAAUCAAUGUUAAACAUAUUAAAAAAAAAAAAAAAAAAAAAAAAAUAUUAAAAUCAAUACAAUUACAAUUAGAGCUGGAGCUGCUAUUUUUAGACGUUCAACAGAAAGUUGUGUGUUUGUUUAUUAAUUAACCUAAAUUCCCUUAUACUCAACUUUGGAUGUCCGCAUUUUUUUAUUUGGAAUAUUUCACAUUGUAUUUUUAAAAAAAAAUUAAAAAAAUUACUUGAAUAGAGUAUUAUUUAUACUACACAUUUCCAAUAAGACUUACGUUGCUAUCGGUUACGCCUUUUCUGACUAAACCACGGAUCAUAGUACAAAUUUGAAAAUCGAUUUUCAACUGCCACUUGACACUAACCAACUCUUUAUAUUAACCUUAAGUCCUACUCUUCUAUCCCCCUUCGCUCUGGUCUGAACAGCUCGUUUCCUGGACCUCCCGUGGAAUGACCUCGAUAACUGAUAUAGCUUGCUCCUAAGCGGGAUUGGACUAGCCAUUACAACGUCAAAAUCUAAUGCAUUUCAUAAGAAGAGCGUCUGGCUAACUAAUCAACAAAUGUUAACAUACUAGACAUAUGUAUAUUACUUAUGUUACCGAUUAAGCAACUAGAGAUUAAUUAGUACUUGGGUGUACUUUAUAAUUAAAAGUUUAUUUUAUAAUAAUAAUUAUUCUUAAUACAGGCUGA